RNAcentral lists this ribosomal RNA (471 nucleotides) under uncultured Acidobacteriaceae bacterium. RNAcentral's name for it is "bacterial SSU rRNA". It matches the Rfam family "Bacterial small subunit ribosomal RNA", at positions 8 to 488 of the family's 1533-position model. The record is from RNAcentral. Lineage: Bacteria; Pseudomonadati; Acidobacteriota; Terriglobia; Terriglobales; Acidobacteriaceae.
AGAGUUUGAUCAUGGCUCAGAAUCAACGCUGGCGGCAUGCCUAACACAUGCAAGUCGAGCGAGAAAGUGUAGCAAUACAUGAGUAAAGCGGCGCACGGGUGAGUAACACGUGGAUAACCUGCCUCAAAGUGGGGAAUAACCCCGGGAAACCGGAGCUAAUACCGCAUAUUCUAAUGCGAUCUGUGGAUCGCGUUAGCAAAGGAGCAAUUCGCUUUGAGAGGGGUCCGCGGCUGAUUAGCUAGUUGGUGAGGUAAUGGCUCACCAAGGCUUCGAUCAGUAGCCGGUCUGAGAGGACGGUCGGCCACACUGGAACUGAGACACGGUCCAGACUCCUACGGGAGGCAGCAGUGGGGAAUUUUUCGCAAUGGGGGAAACCCUGACGAAGCAAUGCCGCGUGGAUGAUGAAGUAUCUCGGUACGUAAAAUCCUUUCGACAGGGACGAAGCCGCAAGGUUGACGGUACCUUAGAAGA